This 591-nucleotide long non-coding RNA is filed under the name Elaeis guineensis (African oil palm). RNAcentral's name for it is "long non-coding RNA (EGUI_LNC075988)". The record is from RNAcentral. Lineage: Eukaryota; Viridiplantae; Streptophyta; Magnoliopsida; Arecales; Arecaceae.
AUCAGAUAAUCAUGCAUUUUGUCAGGGAUUUCACUCUUUUUAGAUGACCAGGGCCUCCAAAUUAGAACCUAGAGCUCAGAUAUUAGCAUCUCAAACGAUGAAAUACAUAAUGUCAAAUUUGUACAAAACGGAUGCACUUUAAUCAAUUGGCAAAGAUUUCAAUUCAGGACUAUUGUUCAUUUGAGUAUCACAGAGUUAAAACAUCCAUGGUGUUUUCUUUAUUUUUUCUGCGAUUGCACUGGCAACUCGAAAACAGCCAAAUCAUCUCCUAUCUUUCCUCCAUUUUGUAAUUGCUCUUCAAUGCAAAUUAACUCAAUCCUCAUAUGUGCAUGUAACUGGAAUCGGCAAUAUUGGAAAGAAUAAAUUACUGCAGGACAGAGACUAAUAAAAGACAAGUCAACAAGUACACCAACCAUCUUGAAGAAGCCCAUUGGAAUGGGAGUGUUUUUCCUAAUUAAUGUAAAAAAAAUUUAUUUACAUAAAUAAUUUAAUUUUUAACUUAUUUAUCAGAUUGAUGUAAAAAUAAUAAAAUAUUAUUUUGAAUGACGUUUUAUCAUCACCACGUCACCCUCUAUUUUUCACGUAGACGAC